Molecule: long non-coding RNA, 671 nt
Filed under: Vitis vinifera (wine grape)
Lineage: Eukaryota; Viridiplantae; Streptophyta; Magnoliopsida; Vitales; Vitaceae
Description: long non-coding RNA (VVIN_LNC005967)
Source: RNAcentral
UUUGACAAGCCAACUUAUACAGAUAAGUGACCUAGUGUUAGCCAAAAAUCAAGGUCCAAAGAGUUUCGAAGCACAUUGUUCACUCUCUUUAGCAUAACCACAAUUUCAUCAAAAGAAAACUAACCACCAUGUUGUAGUUGUCAACACAAUAACUUUGCUGCAGGAUCACGUUAUCUCCUCCAAUACACUUCUCAUUCAUCAAUGGAAAAUCCGCCCUUUUGGUGUGUCCCUAGGAAUGCCUUUCUAUUCCUAUGCUCAAAGGUGUUUGGCAGCUAGGUUGUGCAUUAUUACCAGCCAUUGCUUUAGCACCCACAUUAAGAAUAUUACUUUGCAAUUCAUGCAAGGAAAUUCACUUCAAUACACUUCUCAAAAGAAAAGAAAACUAACCACCAUGUUGUAGUAGUCAACACAAUAACUUUGCUGCAGGAUCACUUUAUCUCCUCCAAUACACUUCUCAUUCAUCAAUGGAAAACCAGCCCUUUUGGUGUGUCCCUACGAAUGCCUUUCUAACCACUUCCUGACGUAAUGCUUCCAAUGGUCAAAGGUGUUUGGCAGCUAGGUUGUGCAUUAUUACCAGCCAUUGCUUUAGCACCCACAUUAAGAAUAUUACUUUGCAAUUCAUGCAAGGAAAUUCACUUCAACAACUGACUCUGAAGCUCCCUCAAACCAUC